ACACACACACACACACACACACACACACACACACACACACACACACACACACACACACACUGUGUCUCAUUGAGCCAGGUACAGAAGGCUGCAGAUCCCCUGCAAGGCAUCAAAUCCAUGGGUGGGCUCUCAUAGCAUGUGCUAACGAGCUGGCUGAUGUUCUCACUUCCAUCCUCUUAGUCAGAGCAUUGUCCUCUCCUGUCUCAAGACCACAACUAUUGUCCCCAUAACCAAGAAGAGCCCACCCACCAGCCUCACGCGUCUCCGUCCCCAGCUGCUUCUCCUGCUACCGCUCGACAGGCCUCGUCUGCUCCUGCUCCCCCAGCCUCGCCCGCUUCCACUUCACAGGCCUUGCCUGCGAGUUCCACUGGCUCACAACACCGUCCAGUAGCAGUCAAGCGAGAAUGGUUCACUGCCGGCGCAGAGUUGAUGUCUGCUGUGUGGCAGAUGUCCUGGAUUGAUGAGGAGCUUUUGGACCAACGAAAGCCAGAGUUUCAGAAGAAAGACCAACGUGAGGAACAGCACAUCGAUCAGAUGGAGUGGGUCAUAUCAAUGAACGAGCGUGUUCUUCGUCUGAAUGAACGUGUUUUUGAGCAAAAUCAGGCUACACAGGAGAGAGAGCUUGCUGUUUCUCAGCAGGUCUGUGACAUCGAGGAGGCCUUCCAGCAAUCUGUGCUGGAAUUGAAAAGGGAUGAGCUGCAACAAAAGGCUGCUUUUCUUAGACUGAUGUCCAACAUGUAAAGUUCUGCUCAGAAAUGAUACCUUUACCUUUUGUGUGCAAUAAAGAUGUUUCCUGAAAA
This is a long non-coding RNA of Austrofundulus limnaeus, 800 nucleotides long. RefSeq lists it as uncharacterized. The record is from RefSeq and is a predicted model, not a curated record. Lineage: Eukaryota; Metazoa; Chordata; Actinopteri; Cyprinodontiformes; Rivulidae. The transcript is spliced from 2 exons.